Gadus macrocephalus (Pacific cod) is the source of this 2363-nucleotide long non-coding RNA. RefSeq lists it as uncharacterized. The transcript has 6 exons. NCBI's taxonomy places the organism in Eukaryota, Metazoa, Chordata, Actinopteri, Gadiformes, Gadidae. The record is from RefSeq and is a predicted model, not a curated record.
CAUAUGCUUCGAGGCUGCGGCGUCCAUCAGAGCAUCGCGAUCGACAGGCGGCUGGCCACUGCGGAUAAGGUGUUUCCUACUCCCCACCAGCAGACUUUGCUGAUGUCCUCUGAGGCGUAUGGAAUACAAAUGGAAGAUAUUUUUGAUAUUCCUUGUCAGUUUCAAUGGAAAAGUUAUGGCACGACCAGAUUGCCACAAGGAUCAAUACAGAGUCGGAGACAGAUGUUGCUAUAAAUGCGAUCCGGGAUAUCAAGUUUCUGAGGACUGCCCACUAGAGGGAGGACAGACAAGAUGCCAAACUUGUGCCAAAGACACUUUCGCUACAGGCCUCAAUAGAUAUAAGCACUGCACUCCCUGUACCAGCUGUGAUUCAGAGAGGGGUCUGCGUUUGAGGAAGUCGUGUACAGAGACAUCAGACGCUUUGUGUGAAACCCUGGAUGGAUACUUCUGUAGAGACCCCAACGAAGGAGGAUGUAGGGCGGCUCAGAGACACAGUGUGAGCUGCAGUCCUGGUCACCACAUCGGUCAAAACGGAACCGCAGAUAAAGACACAGAGUGCCUUGAUUGUGCGAAGGGAACCUUCUCUAAUGGAACGGUGACGUCUUGCCAGCCCCACACAAAUUGUGAAUCUCUGGAGCUGUAUCAAAUCCAACCAGGGACCACUUCAACUGAUUCUGAGUGUGGAAAACAUGGGUCCAACGUAACACCACUAGUGAAAGAAGUAAUACCAAUCAUAGUGCUGCUAUUAUUUUUCGUUGUUCUAGUAUUCUUAAAGAGGUAAGCUUAACCUUUACAUUUAUCUUUUGCUGACGCUUUUAUUCAAAGUGACUUGCAACCAUUCAUUCACACAUUCACACAUUCACACACCGACGGCGGAGUCGACCACGCAGGGCGACAGCCAGCUCGUCGGGAGCAGUCAGGGUGAGGCGUCUCGAUCAGGGACCCCUCAACACUCUAGCUAGGAGGAGUUGGGGAUAGAAAUAGCAACCUACCGGUUACCAGUCAACCCACUCUAGCUCCUGAGAUACUGCCCCCCCCCCCCCCCCCCCCCCAACCAUAAACCCUUAAUAGGUUCAUAGUUGGCUGAAUGAUAGUAACAGCUGCUGAUAUUGCUGCUGAACUGAUGUAUUGAUGUUCAUCUUUUAUUCAGAAUGAACCAAGCUCUGAAGGAGCGGAGUACUAUUCAACAGUCAGCCCAGAAAACCCAGGAUGUGGCUCCAGGAGGACCUAAUGAGGAAAAAAACACGAUGCUGCAAAACCGAUGCUGUGGGAUCAUGUUCUGGGUUAGGAAAUCAUAGCAAUAUCAAUACACACAGUAUAUCUAAAGAAGUGUAUGCAUAUUCUCAGGUCAAGCAUAUUGUAUUUGUUGACUGCAACUUGGAUCCCCUUGAUCACAGUUGCAGUCUUAAAGGUCUGUACUGCCGACAUAGUGAACCACCGAUCAUGUUCAGGUCAUGUUGAUCAGUUUAUGAUCAGACUACCAAAGCGGUCGUAAACAGCCCCCGCGAGUCAUAGAACAAAACUUCAAACUUUGCCACCUUUUGAAACUAGCGUGUGGUGAGAACUCACCAACACUAAAGGAGACACAAGCUCACAAGCUGCUGAACUUGAAUGUCAAUUACAAUUAGGGCAUUUAGCAGACGCUUUUAUCCAAAGCGACUUACAUUCCCCCUGGAUCUACAGCUGGCAGCAAAGAUCUUUAAGCACUAACUCCAAACCAAUCUUUUAACUACUGAGACUUAGGUCACCGUUGUAUUGCUUUAUCUUGAUCAUCCGUUCUUCUGUCUACCUGCUUAUCUCUGCAUUUUUCUGAUUGUACUUUAGACACUUCAUCCCUUUUUUGAUUUUCCCAAAAUGUGGCCGCAGUGUAUCAAUACACACAGUAUAUCUACAGAAGUGUAUGUAUGUUCUCAGGUCAAGCAUAUUGUAUUUGUUGACCGCAACUGGGAUCCCCUUGAUCACAGUUGCAGUCUUAAAGGUCUGUACUGCCGACACAGUGAACCACCGAUCAAGUUGUCAUGGGAGUAGCGGACGCGGGGUAAGCGGGGGGGACAUGUCCCCCGCACUUCCCGUAUCUGUGCCCUCUGUCCCCCGCACUUUUUAAAGCCAUUCUAGCCAUCUAGAACUGAAAAUAUUAUUUUGUAAUAUAGUUAAUCAGGAGAGCCUGUAGCCUUUGAUUCCCUUAGUUCAAAAGGUAAAUACUGACAUGGAUGUUUAAAUAUUGUGGCAACCCGGGCCCAGGAAUGUCUCAGAGGUAUAGGAAUCGCCACACUUCACGGCUGGUUCAAAGCCCGGGAGGGCUUUUAUUCAGGAUAAUGCAAAACACGCCCACGUGGGGAAAACGAGAAAGAAUACACUGACUC